Molecule: transfer RNA, 76 nt
Filed under: Brucella sp. 10RB9215
Lineage: Bacteria; Pseudomonadati; Pseudomonadota; Alphaproteobacteria; Hyphomicrobiales; Brucellaceae
Description: tRNA-Pro
Rfam family: tRNA
About the family: Transfer RNA (tRNA) molecules are approximately 80 nucleotides in length. Their secondary structure includes four short double-helical elements and three loops (D, anti-codon, and T loops). Further hydrogen bonds mediate the characteristic L-shaped molecular structure. tRNAs have two regions of fundamental functional importance: the anti-codon, which is responsible for specific mRNA codon recognition, and the 3' end, to which the tRNAs corresponding amino acid is attached (by aminoacyl-tRNA synthetases). tRNAs cope with the degeneracy of the genetic code in two manners: having more than one tRNA (with a specific anti-codon) for a particular amino acid; and 'wobble' base-pairing, i.e. permitting non-standard base-pairing at the 3rd anti-codon position.
Source: RNAcentral
GGAGCGUAGCGCAGUCUGGUAGCGCACCUGAUUUGGGAUCAGGGGGUCGCAGGUUCGAAUCCUGCCGCUCCGACCA